Molecule: ribosomal RNA, 301 nt
Filed under: uncultured bacterium
Lineage: Bacteria
Description: partial 16S ribosomal RNA
Rfam family: Bacterial small subunit ribosomal RNA
Source: RNAcentral
CAGCAGCCGCGGGAAUACGUAGGGUGCGAGCGUUAAUCGGAAUUACUGGGCGUAAAGCGUGCGCAGGCGGUUUUGUAAGACAGGCGUGAAAUCCCCGGGCUCAACCUGGGAAUGGCGCUUGUGACUGCAAAGCUAGAGUGCGGCAGAGGGGGAUGGAAUUCCGCGUGUAGCAGUGAAAUGCGUAGAUAUGCGGAGGAACACCGAUGGCGAAGGCAAUCCCCUGGGCCUGCACUGACGCUCAUGCACGAAAGCGUGGGGAGCAAACAGGAUUAGAUACCCCUGUAGUCCCUGUCUCUUAUAA